GUAGGCAUCCUGAUUGCUGCUUUCAUUAAUAUGGAUUCAAAACUAGUUGAUCACUGUGGUCCUUUUCAACCCAGGCCAUUGUACGAUUCUGUGACUGACGAUGGCCCCACCAGCUCACAAAACAUAAGCAUGAACCAAGCACCAUGUGAGCCCUGCUGGUGUAACAGGCUGCCUGAGGUGGAACCUCUGGGAUCCAUCAGAUGCUCUGGAAAGCCCAUAAAGUGGAAUUUCCCGAGAUAUUUGUUCUUCUAUUCAGAGUGAACACACCGUGAGAAGAACUUGGCUCAGCAGGCCCAAGCCAAAAAGGAAAGCAAGGAUGUACAGAAGAAUGCGGAUCACUGAGAUGUCAGAUCAGCUACUCUGCUUUGUGACUACAGAGAAUAAAGGAGGAUGGCAGAUCCUGCACUUCCCAGCUAAGUGCUUUUGAUCAGUGGUCAACACGGUGAUGAAUGCUUUUCCAUCGCACCCUUCAUCCCAUGCAUUUUCAAGGCUGCUUAGAGAUUUUUUGACUUCAAUCAAAACUGCUGCUGCAUUAUGCAUGAAACUCAUGGAGUAGUUGGGAGUCGAGGAGAUCAGCUACAAAUCACAGCCAAGCACACGGAAGGCCUCCUGGUUCUGAUGGCUUCUACCACUUUUGAAGGCUGCCAAGAGAAGGUCACAUGCACUGAUUUCUUCUCUUUCCUUAACGUUUUCAAGUGCAUCACACUUUUUCACGCAGGCAUUCAAACGAAAAAGAGGAGUGGUGAGGAAUAUCAUUCAUAAACCAAAGGGAAGGGCUGCCGCUGCGUCCCUGUGGUGGGGAAGAAGGAAGUCCCACGUGCAGUCACCAAUCCGAAGUGCAACCACAAUGGAGCAUCUUCAUUUGUUCCUCCUGUGACCAUACCAGCAGCACUGGUUUAGCACCACAGAAGGAGACAGAAGAAGACGGCCCUGCAUCAUUUUCUUCUCUAUAUUUUUUAAUUCUUCCUUUUUUUUUUCAUAAUUAAAUGGAAAAUAAAUUAAUUCCUGGGUUAUUU
This is a long non-coding RNA of Gallus gallus (chicken), 1016 nucleotides long. NCBI's taxonomy places the organism in Eukaryota, Metazoa, Chordata, Aves, Galliformes, Phasianidae. The record is from Ensembl.